UACGUAGGGACCGAGCGUUGUCCGGAAUGAUUGGGCGUAAAGCGUCCGCAGGUGGCAGUUCAAGUCUGCUGUCAAAGACCGGGGCUUAACUUCGGAACUGCCCUUGAUACAGCACGUCUUGAGUCCGGAAGAGGUGGGUGGAAUUCCUAGUGUAGAGGUGAAAUUCGUAGAUAUUAGGAAGAACACCGGUGGCGAAGGCGGCCCACUGGUCCGGUACUGACGCUGAGGUGCGAAAGCGUGGGGAGCAAACAGG
Molecule: ribosomal RNA, 253 nt
Filed under: uncultured bacterium
Lineage: Bacteria
Description: partial 16S ribosomal RNA
Rfam family: Bacterial small subunit ribosomal RNA
Source: RNAcentral